AGGCGCCCGCCCCUCAUGUGGAGCCAAUCGGAAGUCGAGGUGAGGCUGCCCGGUCUUACAGGAGUGCGCACGCCCAUGCGGGUGACGGAAACCGCUGCAGAGCCGGCACUUCCGCGUUGACAGGCUCCCGCCUGGCUGCAGUCAUCUAUAAGCCCGAAGACGACUUUUAAGCCGGGCGCGGUGGCUCACGCCUGUAAUCCCAGCACUUUGGGAGGCCAAGGCGGGUGGAUCACGAGGUCAAGAGAUCGAGACCAUCCUGGUCAACAUGGUGAAACCCCAUCUCUACUAAAAAUACAAAAAUUAGCUGGGCAUGGUGGUGCAUGCCUGUAGUCCCAGCUACCCGGGAGGCUGAGGCAGGAGAAUUGCUUGAACCCAGGAGGCGGAGGUUGCGGUGAGCUGGAUCGCGCCAGUGCACUCCAGCCUGGGUAACAAGAGUGAAACUCCGUCUCAACAACAACAACAACAACAACAACAACAACAACAAAGAUUUCCCAAUCUGCAGGGCCGGGAGAAGCAGGGACCCGAUGCAGCUAGCAGUCGCUGCACACCAGCCUCCCGGCGCCUGGCGGGCAUGAGCGCAAGGUCACGCAGAAGCAGGUCCUCAAUGGCCAGUGCAAGGGCUACCAGCGCCACUGCUACACUGGCAACGUAUUCACCUCGCCUCAGCCUGGGUUCGUGCGACCCCCAACACCUUUCCCAGCCAGGGCCCCGGGGAACCCAGGAGCGUCCUUCACCGCUGCUCAUCCUGGGCAGGAUGCCGACCUUGAGGCUGCCUCCCAUUAAGGAGCUGCACCUCCCCCCCAGCUUGACUUUUGAUGGCUGUUGCAAUAGCCUUAAAGCCUUUGCAAUUUGUAGCUGGGUACUAGGGAGUUAGGAAACAAAGAAAACAUCUUUAUAAAAAUCUAAGGGAUUGGCCAGGUGCGGUUGCUCAGGCCUGCAAUCCCAGCACUUUGGUAGGCUAAGGCAGGUGGAUCACGAGGUCAGGAGUUCAAGACCAGCCUGGCCAGCAUGGUGAAACCCCAUCUCUACUAAAAAUUAGCCAGGUGUAGUGGCAGGUGCCUGUAAUCUGAGCUACUUGGGAGGCUGAAGCAGGAGAAUUACUUAAACCUGGGAGGUUGAGGUUGCAGUGAACAAUGAUAAGGAAAUGAUGCUGUUCUUUGUUUGUUUGCUUUUUGAGACCAGGGUAUUGCUCUGUUGCCCAGGCUGGAGUGAGAUGGUACAAUCUCACUGCAGCCUCAACUUCCUGGGCAGGUGCAAGCAAUCCUUCACCUUAGCCCCCCCCUUUCCCCCACCAAGUAGCUGGGAUUACAGGUUCAUGCUACCAAGCUUGGCUAAUUUUUGUAUUUUGUAUAGAAACAGGGUUUCACCAUGUUGCCAGGCUGGUAUCAAACUUCUAGGCUCAGCUGUCAUCCACCCUCAGCCUCCCAAAGUGCUGGGAUUAUACGUGUGAGCCACUGUUCCUGGCUAUUGCUGUUCUUUUCAAAUGCAUUUUUACCUUUUUUUUUUUUGAGAUGGAGUCUCAGUGUUUCCUACACUGGAGUGCAGUCGUGCAAUCUUGGCUUACAGCAGGCUGGUCUCGAACUCCUGACCUCAGAUGAUCCACCUGCCUCGGCAUCCCAAAGUGCUAAGAUUACAGAUGGAGUUUUACCCAGGCACAAUAUCAACCCACUGCAACCUUCGCCUCCCAGGUUCAAGUGAUUCUCCUGUCUCAGCCUCCUGAGUAGCUGGGACUACAGGUGCGUGCUACUGCACUCAGCUAAUUUCUGUAUUUUUAGUAGAGAUGGAGUUUCAUCAGAUUGGUCAGGUUGGCUCGAAUUGCUGAGCUCAGGUGAUCCACCAGCCUUGACCUCCCAAAGUCCUUGGAUUACAGACAUGACCUUGGCACUGCUCCCAUGAUGAGGUCGGGUCUGUGCUCCUUACCCUUGAAUUCAAGAAUGUCUGUGACUGGCAGAAGUGAUUCAAGCCCACCAGGUACAUUUCAAGUGCUCAGCAGUGCACCUGUGCCUUGCGGCUGCCUUCUGGACAGCACAAACACAGACCAUCUCCAACCUUCCCAGAAAGUUCCACUGCAGGCACUGAGCCGCACCUGGCCACAGCGAUGGAGCUGCCAGAGGGCGAAGCCCAGCCUCACUUUGGUCAACACAUCAAGGACAGGUGCCCAGGGGCAGGUGCCCAGUGGCAGAAAGGUCUUCAGGGACCUCCCUGCCCACAGGCACUCUCUCAAUGCCAUCUCCUGCCUCCGAGCCCAUCCAUGGUUUUCAGCCCACCUUGGCCCCUCUCCUCCACUCCACCCCAAGCCGGAAGCCAUCUGUCCUUCCUCUAAGCUCCUAGAGUCUCCGGGAGGUGUUUAUGGGCUGACUGAAAUGCACAGCAUUGCUCAGAAUAAAGCUCACCAGCCCCUGCUGGCCUGGAGGCCCCGCCUGCCCAGACCCCCACCCCUCUGACCUCCCCACUGGUUCUCUCCACCCUAGCCCAGGUUCCUGUUUGUGGCCUUUGCAGCUGGUGUUCACUCUGCUAAGAAUGCUUUUCCCCAGUGCCCCCAGUUAUCCCCCCACCCCACUGCUUCUGCCAGGUCUCUCAAAUUUCACAUCAGAAUGUCUCUCCAGAACAUUCUAGCUAAAAGAGCUCAGGCAUACGCAGACAGACACACAGACACACACACACACGCACACACACAGACAUACACUUUCACACAUACAAACACACACACUCACAUUCUGAUGCUCACACUCAUUCUCACACACACCCUACAUGCACACCCCACAGGCAUACCCCCUCCAUAGACCCCACAGGCACACACUCACACCCUCACACUCCACAGGCACACCCCCAUCCCCAUACCCCACACACACACUUAUACACCCCCUGCACACACUCACACACUCGGAUACAACCCAAAGGCUCACUGCACUCUGGGCAUGGGGCUGUUCCACCGCUGAUGCUGGAAGCCACCCCCGGCAGCCACUCCCAGGAUCAGGGGCCUGAACUCCUCUCUUCCCUUACCUGGCUGUGAUGAGUUUCUGAGAGUCAGAGCCCUUGAAUGGGGCUCCCAGUCCUAUGUUUUGGCUUCACCGUCUGUAGGAAACCUGUGUGGCAGGAGGACAGGUCACUGGUCUCAGGAUCAGACGAGCUAGGCUCUAGUCCCGAUGCUCUCCCUGACUGGCUGUGUGACCUGGAGCAAGUCACUUAACAUCUCUGAACCUCACUUUCCUACUCACUGAAAUGUGGGAGUCAAUGUGUUGAGCAGGGUUUGGUGAAAAUGUUUCUCUCCUGGAUCCCGAGUGGUGGUGUAACUCACUACACAUUCUCUGGAAGGGGAUUUGGUAACAUGAAUCUAGAGUAGGGGGUCUUUAACUCGGGUGCCCCUAAGAGCCAGGUAGGUGUUGUAAUAGAGAGCUCAUUAACACAAGGGCAAGGGCAGCUCUGAUUUUUGUGGGGUUUUCUUGAGACAGAGUCCUGUUCUGUCAUCCAGAGUGAACACACCCCACAAACACCACACACCCCACACAUACACCACACACACUCACACCCCACACACAUCACACACACACCCCACAGACACCACACACACACCUCGCAGACACACACCCCACAGACAACCCACACAUGCUCACACAUCUCACACUCACCCCCCCACACACACCCCAGACACAUCACACAUGCUCACACACACCCUAUAGACACAACCCACACACAUUCACACACUCCACACACACCCUCCAUACACCCCCUAGCACACCCCCACACCCCACACAUACCCCACAGACACACCACACACACACCUCACACACCCCACAGGCACCCCACAAACUCCCUCCACACUCACACACCCCACAGCACACCCCACACCUCAUACACACACACCUCCCAGACAUACCCCCCCACACACCCCUACACACACCCCAUACACCCACACCACACACACCCCAUACACUCCACACUCACACCCCACACACCCACACACAAUCACAUACCCUACACAUACACACCACACAGACACACCCCACAUGCCCCCCACACACUCAUAUACCCCACAGACCCUCACACAUCCCCCAUACCCCCACACACUCACCCCCCACACACACCACACACCCCACACACACCCUCCACACACCCCACACACACUCAUACACCUGACACACCCCCACACACACACCCACAGAUACCCCACACACACACCCCACACACACACACUCACAAACCCCCUGCAAUCUCAGCUCACUGUGGCCUCGAUGUCCUGGGCACAAGUGAACCUUAGCCUCUCGAGUAGCUACAGUGCACCUCAAUACCUGCUAAAUUUUAAACUUUUUUAGAGAUAAGGUCUUGCUUGUUGCACAGGCUGGCCUCAAACCCCUGGCCACAAGCAGUCCUACCUCAGCCUCCCAAAGUGCUGGAAUUACGGAACUGAGCCACUGCAACUGGCCUGAUUUUAAAGAAAAAAAUUGGCUGUGUGCGGUGGUUCAUGCCUGUAAUCCCAGCACUUUGGGAGGCUGAGGUGAGUGGAUCAACCUGGGGUCGGAGUUAGAGACCAGCCUGACCAAUAUGGUGAAACUCUAUCUACUAAAAAUACAAUAAUUAGCUGGGCAUGGUGGUGUGCACCUGUAGUCCCAGCUACUCGGGAGGCUGAGACAGCAGAAUCGCUUGAACCUGGGAGGCGGAGGUUGCAGUGAGCCAAGAUCAUGCCACUGCACUCCAGCCCGGGCAAGACAGAGCAAGACUUUGUCUGGAAAAAAAAAAAAACAGAAAAGAAAAAAAAAAAAAUUUUUGAGGUAAAACUCACAUAGCACAAAAUCCAUCAUUAUAACUAUUUUAAGUUGUACAAUUCCGUGGUGCUUAAUGCAGUCACAGUGUUGUGCUACCAUCAGCAGUAGCAGGUUCCAGAACAUGCGCAUCACAUGAAAAGGAGACCAGUAGCCCUUACGCAGUCACCCCUCAUUUCCUCCUCCCCUCAUUCCCUGACGGCCACUCAUCUCCUUUCUGUCGUUAUGGAUUUACCUAUUCUGGCCAUUCCAUAUAAAUGAAAUCAUACCA
Molecule: long non-coding RNA, 5031 nt
Organism: Callithrix jacchus (white-tufted-ear marmoset)
Lineage: Eukaryota; Metazoa; Chordata; Mammalia; Primates; Cebidae
Source: RefSeq, a predicted model, not a curated record